Molecule: ribosomal RNA, 773 nt
Filed under: uncultured Neocallimastigales
Lineage: Eukaryota; Fungi; Neocallimastigomycota; Neocallimastigomycetes; Neocallimastigales
Description: partial large subunit ribosomal RNA
Rfam family: Eukaryotic large subunit ribosomal RNA
Source: RNAcentral
UACUAGAGUAGCACUCGCAUAUCAAUAAGCGGAGGAAAAGAGACUAACAAGGAUUCCCUUAGUAACGGCGAGUGAAGCGGGAAGAGCUCAAAUUUGAAAUCUUCAAGGUUUUACCUUGACGAAUUGUAGUUUAAAGAAGUGUUUUCUGUUGGAGUUUUGGUAAAAGUUCUUUGGAAUAGGACAUCAUAGAGGGUGAGAAUCCCGUAUUUGACCAUUAUUUCCAGCUGUGUGAUACACUUUCAAAGAGUCGGAUUGUUUGGGAAUGCAGUCCAAAAUGGGUGGUAAAUUUCAUCUAAUGCUAAAUAUUGGCGAGAGACCGAUAGCGAACAAGUACCGUGAGGGAAAGAUGAAAAGAACUUUGAAAAGAGAGUUAAACAGUACGUGAAAUUGUCAAAAGGGAAGCGUUUGACACCAGUGUUGUUUUUCCGAAAAUCAAUUACGAAUGGCUUGAUUUUAAGUUUCAUGACCUUAAAAGCUUGUUUCUUAUUUUUCAUGUCUUUCGUAAUGCACUUUUCGGUUAACAAGUCAACAUCAAUUUCUUUUGUUGUAAAAGGGUAUGAGGAAGGUGGCUUUCUUUUCGGAGAAAGUGUUUAUAGCCUUGUGCCUCUGCAAUCGGAGAGAUUGAGGUCUGCAGCGUAGAUCCUUCGGGGUUAGAUACAUUUGUGCUAAGCUAUAGCCUUGUAUAGACAACUUGUUGACUAUGCUCAGUCAUGUAGCUUACUCGCUUAUGCUAUUUUACCUACGCUUAGGAUGUUGAAGAUAUGCGCGACACG